CUGGACUGGCGCUGCACGGAA
Molecule: microRNA, 21 nt
Filed under: Marchantia polymorpha subsp. ruderalis
Lineage: Eukaryota; Viridiplantae; Streptophyta; Marchantiopsida; Marchantiales; Marchantiaceae
Source: RNAcentral